AGCAUUCAGUUGGGCACUCUAAGGGGACUGCCGUGCAAACCGAGAAAAGGUGGGGAUGAGUCAAGUUCUCAUGGCCCUUUACGCCUGGGGUACCCCACUUGUACAAUGGGCGGUGACAAGGGGCAGCAAACUCGGGAGAGUGAGUAAUUCCACAAAACCCAUCUCAGUCUCGGAUUGCAGUCUGCAACUCGAGGUGCAUG
This 200-nucleotide ribosomal RNA is filed under the name uncultured bacterium. Its description in RNAcentral is "partial 16S ribosomal RNA". It matches the Rfam family "Bacterial small subunit ribosomal RNA", at positions 1120 to 1322 of the family's 1533-position model. The record is from RNAcentral.